ACUCAGUUGGUAGAGUACAAAGCUCUUAACCUUGUGGGCGUGGGUUCAAGCCCCAU
RNAcentral lists this transfer RNA (56 nucleotides) under Triticum aestivum (bread wheat). It matches the Rfam family "tRNA", at positions 10 to 63 of the family's 71-position model. Rfam says of the family: Transfer RNA (tRNA) molecules are approximately 80 nucleotides in length. Their secondary structure includes four short double-helical elements and three loops (D, anti-codon, and T loops). Further hydrogen bonds mediate the characteristic L-shaped molecular structure. tRNAs have two regions of fundamental functional importance: the anti-codon, which is responsible for specific mRNA codon recognition, and the 3' end, to which the tRNAs corresponding amino acid is attached (by aminoacyl-tRNA synthetases). tRNAs cope with the degeneracy of the genetic code in two manners: having more than one tRNA (with a specific anti-codon) for a particular amino acid; and 'wobble' base-pairing, i.e. permitting non-standard base-pairing at the 3rd anti-codon position. The record is from Rfam by way of RNAcentral. Lineage: Eukaryota; Viridiplantae; Streptophyta; Magnoliopsida; Poales; Poaceae. RNAcentral also lists the same sequence under 1 other name.